CAGCCGCGCGGGAAUACGUAGGGGGCAAGCGUUAUCCGGAAUUAUUGGGCGUAAAGAGUGCGUAGGUGGUCUACUAAGCGCGAGGUGAAAGGCAAUGGCUCAACCAUUGUUAGCCUUGCGAACUGGCAGACUUGAGUGCAAGAGAGGAAAGCGGAAUUCCUAGUGUAGCGGUGAAAUGCGCAGAUAUUAGGAGGAACACCGGCGGCGAAGGCGGCUUUCUGGAUUGUAACUGACACUGAGGCACGAAAGCGUGGGUAGCAAACAGGAUUAGAUACCCCCGUAGUCCCUGUCUCUUAUACAC
RNAcentral lists this ribosomal RNA (301 nucleotides) under uncultured bacterium. Its description in RNAcentral is "partial 16S ribosomal RNA". It matches the Rfam family "Bacterial small subunit ribosomal RNA", at positions 509 to 809 of the family's 1533-position model. The record is from RNAcentral.